Molecule: ribosomal RNA, 259 nt
Filed under: uncultured bacterium
Lineage: Bacteria
Description: partial 16S ribosomal RNA
Rfam family: Bacterial small subunit ribosomal RNA
Source: RNAcentral
ACACCUACGGGGCGCAGCAGUGGGGAAUAUUGCACAAUAGGGGAAACCCUGAUGCAGCAACGCCGCGUGAGUGAAGAAGUAUUUCGGUAUGUAAAGCUCUAUCAGCAGGGAAGAAGAAAGACGGUACCUGACUAAGAAGCCCCGGCUAACUACGUGCCAGCAGCCGCGGUAAUACGUAGGGGGCAAGCGUUAUCCGGAUUUACUGGGUGUAAAGGGAGCGUAGACGGCAUAGCAAGUCUGAAGUGAAAGCCCGGGGCUC